CCUACGGGGGGCAGCAGUGGGGGAUAUUGCACAAUGGGGGGAACCCUGAUGCAGCGACGCCGCGUGGGUGAAGGAGUGCUUCGGCAUGUAAAGCCCUAUCGGCAGGGAAGAAGCAAGACGGUACCUGACUAAGAAGCCCCGGCUAACUACGUGCCAGCAGCCGCGGUAAUACGUAGGGGGCGAGCGUUAUCCGGAUUCACUGGGUGUAAAGGGAGCGUAGACGGCAGUGCAAGUCCGGAGUGAAAGCCCGGGGCUCAACCCUGGGACUGCUCUGGAAACUGCAAAGCUGGAGUGCGGGAGGGGCAGGCGGAAUUCCUGGUGUAGCGGUGAAAUGCGUAGAUAUCAGGAGGAACACCGGCGGCGAAGGCGGCCUGCUGGACCGUAACUGACGUUGAGGCUCGAAAGCGUGGGGAGCAAACAGGAUUAGAUACCCCAGUAGUC
Molecule: ribosomal RNA, 441 nt
Filed under: uncultured bacterium
Lineage: Bacteria
Description: partial 16S ribosomal RNA
Rfam family: Bacterial small subunit ribosomal RNA
Source: RNAcentral